Long non-coding RNA from Chrysemys picta bellii (western painted turtle), 2384 nucleotides. RefSeq lists it as uncharacterized. Lineage: Eukaryota; Metazoa; Chordata; Testudines; Emydidae. The record is from RefSeq and is a predicted model, not a curated record.
GGGUGGCUCUCUCUCUCUCGCGCGCACACACACAGCCCCGCGCGCCUGUCUUAAAGGGCCCGCGCUCGCUCGCUGCACGCCCAGGCGCGUCCCCGCGGAGCGAGCUGGAGCCCGGCUGGGGGGGAGCCUGGGCACCGCUACAUGCCCCACCGCAGAGCCGCCAGGCGCCCCGGGGGCACAGCCCGUCUCUGCCCCAGCGCCUGUGCGGGGCCCGCGCUGGGCUCGGGGAGGUCUCCCCGGGGGGUUUCCACAGCGAGAUUUUAAUGUUAUUUGUGGACUAACCAGGCACCAGUUGCUGAAAUGUUAAAUUUCAGCCUCUCCCCGAGCCGGCCCUGGCGCUACCCAGCUCGCUGGGGCGUGUGGCUGCCCGGGGACCCGCUCCUGGAGCCAAUGGGAGACGCCCCUGACUUACACCGGGGAAGCAGGAUCGGGCCCAGCCCAGACGUUUUGCUGUGGGGAUUGAUUUUUAUUUUUUAUUUCUUUAGCUUUGACCGAGCCCGUGCGUCGUCGGUUCUCUGCCAGCGCGCCCAGGGCCGAGGCAACGUGCAAACCUCGAGGGAGCGUGGCAGUGGGUUGAGCAUAUCCUUGAAGGGGACAUCUCAGCCUCCACGUCCCCUCUGCCCAGCCCCGGUGUCCAGUCCUGGCUGGGUCCUGGGCAGGGGCAUUCUCGUUUGCAAGUCUUGCAAACACCCGCCUCCCCCUCCCCGAUCUCGUUAGGAACAUAGACGUGACGUCGGAUUUCAGAAAAUUAUUAGUUUUCCUAACUUGCCCGGAGGGUCCGGAAACCUGAAAUUAAACAUCUUCGCAGCCAAUUUCCAAAGACACUAGACACGUCUGUUCUGGCGUCAGUUUGGAGAGAAGAGGGAAAAAAAAAAAACAACCCCACAGUUCCCAUGGAAAGGAAACUCCCCAUCUCGGCUGAUCACAUACAACAGAUGAUCCUCUUGUUUUGCAUCUGAAAAAAAAUCGUCAGAUUUACAGCCCUCCCAAAUGGAGAUAAAACCUUGGCAAUGAGUUGGAAACCUGUUGUAAUCUGUGAUCCGGGAAACAAAGAGCCUCAUUAAUGCAGAGAUUUUGGUGAGCCUUUGAUGUUAGCUAGCAUAGCAUUCACUCUCAGUUCCAUUUGCAUUUAAACAUUCAUAAAAACAUCAUCUCUGCUUCCUUUGCCUUAAGCAAUUUAGGAGUAAAGUAUAGCUUCUAUUUAAAGAAACCCACUGUGGUGAGGCUUAGAAUACAAAUAUCACAUAAUCUUCAAGCAGAGCAAAUAUUUUAUCCUAUAUCUCUGGUAGGCACAUAAUAUUAUAUUUAAGACCCAAAAUAAAAGAUCUAUCUUAUUUUCAUUAACCUUGACCCACACAUACAACAACAAAAAGGGGGAGGGGGGGAGAGGAAGAGAAAAGCCUUUUUAAUCCUAAAUACACCAGUUAGUAAUUAUGGAAGUUUAAAAAAAUACCCAAGAUUUAUAUUAUUCACAAGAGCCAAUUUUUAAAAAAAAAAUUGGGUGCCUAAAGCUAGGUUACUAUAUCCAUAUUUAGGCAUCCAAUUCUGAAAGCAUUGGCCAGGAUUUUUUUCUUUUAUUUGUAUAGAUUUCAAGUUGCUGAACCUUCACUCUGUUAUUAAAAUGGGGUCUAAGGAAAGAGACUUUUAUUUUUACAGUCAAAUGUGAAAAUUAAAAUUAACACCUAAGCAUGACAAUAAUAACAAAAUAACCAAAGGAGUCCACAAAUCAAAAUAAAAUUAAUACAUCCAGAGUUUUUCUUCUAAAGCAAUUCACUGCAGUUUGCAGAGUAUAUUCUGGCUAUUUGUAGAAAGGAAGCAUGUGGUAAAGUUGGAAAGUCCUUUAGAAAACAAAGGCCUAUCCACUUUGCUAUCUUCAGAACUAUAGGUUCAAACAAUUAAAUCUAAGAGAAGGGGAACAGUGCUAGAAAUAUUUCAAGAUUCUGAGUCAGGUUGUACAAAUCUAGGACACACCAUUAAAAACAAUCAGAUAAUGCAGAAUCUCAUCAGAUGGCAUAUUGCAGAUUAUGUUUUUCAGUCUUAAUAGCAAACAUAGGAAUAUUUUCAUGUUAAAGGCUAUGAGUCAGUUUAGUCAACUUGUUUUUUAAGCACUAUAGGCAAGUUUCCCAUAUGAUAAAUGUCUAAAAUUUAAAAUUGAAAUGGAAAAUGGUUAAACACAAUUUUACCUUGGGUAUGUUUUUGGAGCUGGAUCAAAGUAAAGUGAAAAGCUUGGCUCACUUGUCAGAUCAUAUCUGCACUGAACCUCAAGGUUUGAUUUGUAUUAUUUACAUGGAAAAGGUCCCAAAAGACCAAUUUGGCACUAAGUAUCAUCAUUACGUUGUUUCGCUUGUAUGGGUGAUUAAAUCAAUAAAGCUUUUCCAUUUUAA